CUGGGGAUAGCUUAGUGGUAGAGCAUUUGCCUGGCACACAUAAGUUCCUGGGUUCCAUCCCCAGCACCGAAA
RNAcentral lists this transfer RNA (72 nucleotides) under Heterocephalus glaber (naked mole-rat). It matches the Rfam family "tRNA". From Rfam's summary of the family: Transfer RNA (tRNA) molecules are approximately 80 nucleotides in length. Their secondary structure includes four short double-helical elements and three loops (D, anti-codon, and T loops). Further hydrogen bonds mediate the characteristic L-shaped molecular structure. tRNAs have two regions of fundamental functional importance: the anti-codon, which is responsible for specific mRNA codon recognition, and the 3' end, to which the tRNAs corresponding amino acid is attached (by aminoacyl-tRNA synthetases). tRNAs cope with the degeneracy of the genetic code in two manners: having more than one tRNA (with a specific anti-codon) for a particular amino acid; and 'wobble' base-pairing, i.e. permitting non-standard base-pairing at the 3rd anti-codon position. Lineage: Eukaryota; Metazoa; Chordata; Mammalia; Rodentia; Bathyergidae. The record is from Rfam by way of RNAcentral.